CAAGAGGUGUUACUUCUAGUCAAGCUUGGCCACUCGCAAGAAGGCAAAACUUAGUAUCGAGGCAUUACUUUCCAUGAAUCUUGAUAACAAGAGGUGUUACUGAUGUUUCUCUGUACCAAUGUGUUGCAACAGGGUGGUAUGUUGGGGUCAUGAUUUCUCAUUUCAUAUCGGUCCCAUUCAAUUAAGUCCUUUGUGUUUUUAAAUCAAACAAAUUUAGUUCUGCUACUAAUUUUUUUCUACAUAAGACCAUCAAAUUCGUCUUCUCUGCUUAAUCUUCUCAAAUUAAAUUGUUUUAAAUCAUCUUAUACUCAAAAUUCAAUAUUCAAAGCAAAACAAAUUUUCUUUUAAUGGAUUCAUGACCCUAAAUCAAACCAGACACAUCUUUUGUUUUUCUCGAUAAACCCUUCUCCUUUCACUUCUCUUCUUUGCUGACUACCGCCAUCAACGACUCAAUCGCGCAACUUUGUUGCCAAGGAGGCUGCGACGCUGAAGCCAACGACGAAGACAAUGAUGCCCCACCCUUUCGUUUACGCCCCCUUCCUCAGCCACGCCCCAGAAGCCCCAAGUCCCAAGCCCCAAAACUCCUUAGCUUUACCGAUGACAAAUACUAGGAAAACCCUCGUCCACGAUCUCAAUGUCCCCACAUCCUCAAGGGCCUCAUCAAACCAGUAGCUUUAGAGACCCAUGGUUGAGAAUCAGACUCCGAGGGAGAUCACGAAACAGUUGAAGUCGAAGUGGGUGACAUUGGCCUUCAUUAUAGGAAAGAGUCCCUCCUAUCUCAAUAUUAGGGAAGAAACAAUAGUUGGCUUCUCUUGGUUCAAGGGUGAUAUGGAAAAGUUCCACCUUUGCUAAAGAUCAAGCUUUUGGUAUAUGGUGUUAACUCUUGGGCAUACCACCCACAAUUGUUAAUUUAUCCUUUAUUCCUUACAAGUCUAUUAAAGAUUUUGAAUUAUUAGUUUAAGGUUUUGUGCCAUUUCUCUUAUUAUAUAAUAUGAUGAACUGGAGAAUAUGAUGAUAUAAAAGCCCUUUUUCAAGGAAGGUGAAUACUGGAGAAUAAUAGAGUAACCAACCAAUGAAGUUGAGUACAAAUUCAGUUCUGAAAGCUGAGAAAGAAGAGUUGGAAUCAUCACUCAGUAAGGAGAAGUAACAUGCUUUUCAAUUAAAGCAAGAGCUGAUGGAAGAUGAGUCUCGUAACUCUAAUCUUAAAAGGUUGCGAAGAUGGAAACAAAGAAAAUGUUUAUUCAAAUGGUUGAAACUGAUUUGGAAAAGAGAAGGGAAGAAGGCAAAUACAAAGGCAAAUUUAGAGGGUAGACCAACUUUUUCAUGUUUGAAAUAUACGUCCUCUAGUAGGAGAAUGGACUGUUAGAGGAACUGCACUCAUCGUGAUUAUAUAGUAUUAGGAAACUUUGGAUAUUAUUAAUAUGUUAGGAAAUACUGCUUAUAUAUUAUAACAUGAUUGAAUGCUUUGUAAUUAGAUAGUUGUAUUUUAUAAUGUUUAUAUUUUUGAAGAUAUUAAAGCUAUA
This is a long non-coding RNA of Vigna unguiculata (cowpea), 1523 nucleotides long. RefSeq lists it as uncharacterized. The record is from RefSeq and is a predicted model, not a curated record. Lineage: Eukaryota; Viridiplantae; Streptophyta; Magnoliopsida; Fabales; Fabaceae.